RNAcentral lists this long non-coding RNA (3259 nucleotides) under Homo sapiens (human). Its description in RNAcentral is "non-protein coding CADM3-AS1:6". The record is from RNAcentral. Lineage: Eukaryota; Metazoa; Chordata; Mammalia; Primates; Hominidae.
GGGAAGGGCUGAAUGCUCUGUGUUUAAGGGAGAGAUAGAAUGGACAGCUGGGCAAACACACACCCGGGGACUCCUUUCUCCAAGACCGAUGGGCAUUGGGGGUGGCAGAGGAAAUACCAGCAUGGAACAACAUCCCAGGGACCCGCGUCCUCCCCAGGUUACAGUCCUGGGUCCCUGCAUGGCUGCAUGUUGUCUGCAGGCCACAUCUCCUCAGGACUCCCGCACUCAUCACUUUCCCAUUGCUAUGGAAGAGAGGUGUCAAGGUGGCACCUGCCUCCCUGUCCGUAGUGCUCAGGUGUGUGGCUACCAGAGGAAAAGCCACUCCCAACCUUUGCCGACAACCAUCCCGUUUCUGGGUUCCUGGAGAAGUCUGGGAAGCUGCUCUGUUGUAGAGGCUGAAAGGAGGGCUGGUGAGAGCCCCCAGCUGAAACCAGCCCUGCCCCUUACCCUUCCUCACCCCUCUACCUUCACUCUCCUCCUAACACUCCAGGGUUUUGUUUUUUGUUUGUUUUUUGCUUUUCUCACCCCAGGGCUCCUGCCUCUCCAGCCUGGAGACAGAUUUGAUUUGGGAUUGUUACAAAAAUAAUAAUAACCCAAAUGCAGAGAAGCCACGGAAAGGGCUGAGGGCAACCCUCCCCUCCCCCCGCCCUCCUCCCUCCCCAUUCCAAACCGAGUACAAAACCGCACCCAAAGCAGACAUUCUGUACAGGGGGGUGGGUGGGCUGGGGAGCAAGCGGGAGGGGCGGCCCUGCGGUUGCUCUGUACAAGUCCGGGUUGGUGACGGCCCCAGCAGUCCCCACAGGGCCCCUGGGGGGCGCAGGAAGUGGGCAGGCGCCUCUAGAUGAAAUAUUCCUUCUUGUCGUCCCCUCCUGACUGCCCGCCUUCUGCAUUGAUGAUGGCCGUGUCCGCGUCUGGAGCAUCGUCGGAGCCUUUUGCCUCAUGUGUCAGUAGUGGCCAAGGAAGAUGAGCAUGAUGAGCAGCAGGAAGACAAUGAAAGCCACGAUCCCACCGAUGAUGGCGUGUCCCGCCCACUUAAGGAUAUUCCUGGAAGAAGAUGCAGUAGCUCCUUCUACCACCAGGCGUCAGCACUGGAAACAGACGCAGUCCAACAGGACUCCCUCUGCCUGGCUGUUGAGCACAAAGCAGAGGGGAGAUCAGCAAGAUACCAACCACAAGGGCACAAGAACUUUCUCUCACUGCCAAUCAUCAUCAGAUUGGUCUGGAGAGAUCUGGGGGCAGAGACCGGAGCUCAGUGCAUUGUCCUUGCUCUUGGCAUCCUACAAUAGCCUUGUUGUGCUGAGGCAGCUCCCACAUGCUGAGGUCUGCCCCUGGAGUGGGAAUCACCCAUCCAGACAUUCUGAUCCCAAGAACUCAGACCUCUUAUCGCUGGGAGGCCUGGCUCUUAUCCCCUCAACUGUUUUAAUGAGUGUCUCAAGUAAGGGAGCCUCUGAUGUUUCCCCGACAAUGCAUUUCCCCUAUUCUGAGAAAAGAUAAGACUUUCUGGCGGGACCCACAGCCAUUGGGAUCUUCAAAAAAAUCGCCCGUCAACUCUCCAUAAAGGGGCCUCUGUGUCACCCUGUCACUACUCCUGAAGCUGGGUUUUGUGGUCACAGCUUUGAGAAGAACUUCAGAGAAGGAGCAUCACCUGGUCCUUCUAGAAGAUAUGGCAUCUGAGAAAAGAUUCUGUCUCUUGGCAUAGUACAAGCUUCUCUCUAUUUUCUGUCCAGACCCAGUACACUGUGCUUAAGGUGGGCAGAAAAAAAAAUGACAGCAGUUGCAUGCACCCAAUACCUAGUCUUAGGAGAAGCAACUCUGAGAAGAGCCAGUUAGAGAAGGAAAUGCACCUGCGCCUGCACUUGAGAGGCUUUGGGGCCUCUGCACACAGAAUUAUUGUUCUUGUUGUCAGACAAGUGCAGGGGAUGGAAGAUGGUGUCACCCAGGCCACCACUACCAAAGAAAGGCAGAUGAGAGCCCACCCUUCUAAUGUUUUUUCACUAAGCGGCCAUUACACAUUCUAGAGUGGACCUGGGACCUAAGCCCUCAGGGACCCCAGUGGUGGGCUGGUUUUCCUUUACUCCACUCCCCGUCACAGUUUGGGGAUGUUAUCAGGAAGCAUUUUAAAAAAGGGAAUAAGAUGGACAGAGAAAGGAGAUUCUGGAGGAAGAGAACUGAGGAGGGCUUACCAUUAACAUUGAGGGUGUAGUAGGCCUUGUAGCUGCCCAUGUUGCUGGUGGCUGUGCAGCCGUAGGUGCCACUGUCACUCUUGUUGAGGAAAGGGAAGAUCAGGGCACUCUCCUGGGUCAUCUUCAGGGGUGGCACACUGCCCUCCUUCUCCCAUAGGUACUGCUGGGGGCUGUCGAGGCAGACAAAUCAGAAGAGCUCAGGAGAGCAUAGGCCAGGGAGCUAAAAGAAAAAAAAAAAUAACUGGGAGCAGGGAUGUCAAGGACUGUUUGAUGAGGCUGGAGAAAUUAUCGGGGCCAGAGACACUGGAGCUGCUAUACGCCAGGUGGCCUCUUGGGGUUCGUUCUGGGGAAGCUGUAGAUCUCCAGACUUGUAUCUUACUUUAACUUGGCCUUUGUGGGAAACUCAGGGACUGAGUUAGGGAGUGGCCCCUUCCCAUUUGUGCUGCUUUGCAGAAGAACUAAUUGCAGGCGGACAUUAUUGGACAGUCAGGGAAAUGAGAGGCUCAGGUCAGACAAUACAGAGGAGAUAGGAAGGAGCUGUUAUGUGAAGAAGGCAAUCUGAGAAUGUGGAGAGUAAGGAGGAGACCAGGAAAUGGAUCUUCUUACACUGGAUUGCCGCGACCCUCACAGUGUAGCAACAGCUUCUGGCCCUCACGAGGAUGGGGAGGGUCUGGCCUAAUCAUCGCAGUUGGUGUGUCUGUGGAGAAGGAAAUGGUAUCAAUGAAUACCUCCCCACACGGCUUAGGAGAUUCCCUCACUUAGUUGCACACUACAGCUUCUACCUCUAAAUGUUUCCGCAGCUCAAGAAGUGCAACAAAGACCUUCCUUCUCCUACUUCUCAUGAACAAGGACCAUUAUUGCUAUUGAAUAUGUGAGCAACUUCUCUUGCAACCUUGUGUGAUAGGAUUCUGGAAGGUCUGUCCUUGGUGGGCCCUAAGAGAUGUCUUAACAGAAAGCUGAGAAGGGAAAUGAGUGGUUUACCUGUGCCUAGCAAACCUCCUAGCACAUAGGAAAGACCUAAUACAUAUUUUUUACAGAACAAAUAAAGUUGAACUUGUCACAUAUUGAGCUCACAA